This 465-nucleotide ribosomal RNA is filed under the name Vreelandella stevensii. Its description in RNAcentral is "partial 16S ribosomal RNA". It matches the Rfam family "Bacterial small subunit ribosomal RNA", at positions 338 to 795 of the family's 1533-position model. Lineage: Bacteria; Pseudomonadati; Pseudomonadota; Gammaproteobacteria; Oceanospirillales; Halomonadaceae. The record is from RNAcentral.
CCUACGGGGGGCUGCAGUGGGGAAUAUUGGACAAUGGGGGCAACCCUGAUCCAGCCAUGUCGCGUGUGUGAAGAAGGCCCUCGGGUUGUAAAGCACUUUCAGUGAGGAAGAACGCCUGGUGGUUAAUACCCAUCAGGAAAGACAUCACUCACAGAAGAAGCACCGGCUAACUCCGUGCCAGCAGCCGCGGUAAUACGGAGGGUGCGAGCGUUAAUCGGAAUUACUGGGCGUAAAGCGCGCGUAGGUGGCUUGAUAAGCCGGUUGUGAAAGCCCCGGGCUCAACCUGGGAACGGCAUCCGGAACUGUCAAGCUAGAGUGCAGGAGAGGAAGGUAGAAUUCCCGGUGUAGCGGUGAAAUGCGUAGAGAUCGGGAGGAAUACCAGUGGCGAAGGCGGCCUUCUGGACUGACACUGACACUGAGGUGCGAAAGCGUGGGUAGCAAACAGGAUUAGAUACCCGAGUAGUC